UACGAAGGGGACUAGCGUUGUUCGGAAUUACUGGGCGUAAAGCGCACGUAGGCGGAUUAGUAAGUCAGGGGUGAAAUCCCGGGGCUCAACCUCGGAACUGCCUUUGAUACUGCAAAUCUCGAGUCCGAUAGAGGUGGGUGGAAUUCCUAGUGUAGAGGUGAAAUUCGUAGAUAUUAGGAAGAACACCGGUGGCGAAGGCGGCCCACUGGAUCGGUACUGACGCUGAGGUGCGAAAGCGUGGGGAGCAAACAGG
This 253-nucleotide ribosomal RNA is filed under the name uncultured bacterium. RNAcentral's name for it is "partial 16S ribosomal RNA". It matches the Rfam family "Bacterial small subunit ribosomal RNA", at positions 524 to 776 of the family's 1533-position model. The record is from RNAcentral.